Molecule: non-coding RNA, 151 nt
Filed under: Corynebacterium aquilae
Lineage: Bacteria; Bacillati; Actinomycetota; Actinomycetes; Mycobacteriales; Corynebacteriaceae
Also listed under: 1 other name
Source: RNAcentral
CUUUAAGCUCGCUUUUCGGGAUCGGGGUUGACGCGGCCGACGCAAGAGGGAAUCCGAUGCAAUUUCGGAGCUGUCCCGCAACGGUAAGCACAGGGAUCAAUCUCCUUGAUGAUUGUGUAAGCCCGAUACCUGCCUGUUGUGUCACAACAUG